This 497-nucleotide ribosomal RNA is filed under the name uncultured bacterium. Its description in RNAcentral is "partial 16S ribosomal RNA". It matches the Rfam family "Bacterial small subunit ribosomal RNA", at positions 28 to 507 of the family's 1533-position model. The record is from RNAcentral.
GAUGAACGCUGGCGGCGUGCCUAAUACAUGCAAGUCGAGCGAACGGACGAGAAGCUUGCUUCUCUGAUGUUAGCGGCGGACGGGUGAGUAACACGUGGAUAACCUACCUAUAAGACUGGGAUAACUUCGGGAAACCGGAGCUAAUACCGGAUAAUAUUUUGAACCGCAUGGUUCAAAAGUGAAUGACGGUCUUGCUGUCACUUAUAGCUGGAUCCGCGCUGCAUUAGCUAGUUGGUAAGGUAACGGCCUACCAAGGCAACGAUGCCUAGCCGACCUGAGAGGGUGAUCGGCCACACUAGAACUGAGACACGGUCCAGACUCCUACGGGAGGCAGCAGUAGGGAAUCUGCCGCAAUGGGCGAAAGCCUGACGGAGCAACGCCGCGUGAGUGAUGAAGGUCUUCGGAUCGUAAAACCCUGUUAUUAGGGAAGAACAUAUGUGGAAGUAACUGUGCACAUCUUGACGGUACCUAAUCAGAAAGCCCCGGCUAACUACGUG